GACCUAGCCGCCGGAGCCGCAGCGCCCGCCUCCGUCAAACCUGUCCGCUCCGCCGCAUCUUCCCAAAUCCUCCGCCCUCCAUUACUCCCCCAAGAAUUGACAUGGGGAUUUGAAGGGGCUCUAGAUUGACAAAGGGGUAUGAUGGAUCUGCAAAGGAUUGAUUGAUGCAGUUGAAGGGUGGUUCUGUCUAUUCAUAUACCCAUUUGCUAUUUAGGUGCUGAAAAAUCUGUCAAAGAAGUCAAAGGGGGGAUAU
This is a long non-coding RNA of Lolium rigidum, 253 nucleotides long. RefSeq lists it as uncharacterized. The transcript is spliced from 3 exons. Lineage: Eukaryota; Viridiplantae; Streptophyta; Magnoliopsida; Poales; Poaceae. The record is from RefSeq and is a predicted model, not a curated record.